This 468-nucleotide ribosomal RNA is filed under the name uncultured bacterium. RNAcentral describes it as "partial 16S ribosomal RNA". It matches the Rfam family "Bacterial small subunit ribosomal RNA", at positions 28 to 507 of the family's 1533-position model. The record is from RNAcentral.
GACGAACGCUGGCGGCGUGCUUAACACAUGCAAGUCGAACGGAAAGGCCCUGCUUUUGUGGGUUGCUCGAGUGGCGAACGGGUUAGUAACACGUGAGUAACCUGCCCUUGACUUUGGGAUAACUUCAGGAAACUCGGGCUCAUACCGGAUAGGAGCUCCUGCUGCAUGGUGGGGGUAUGAAAGUUUCGGCGGUUGGUGUUGGAGUCUACGCUUAUUUGCUUGUUGGUGGGGUAGUGGCUUACCAAGUAUUUGACGGGUAGCCUGCCUGAGAGGGUGACCGGCCUCAUUGGCACUGGGCUACGGCCCAGACUCCUCCCGGAGGCAGCGGUGGGGAAUUUUGCAGAAUGGCAGGAAGGCGGCUGCAGCACCGCCGCGUGCGGGAUGACGGCCUUCGGUUUGUAGACCGAUUUCGACUGUGACGAAGCGAGAGUGAAGGUAAUGGGUAAAGAAGCACCGGCUAACUACGUG